AAGUCGUAACAAGGUUUCCGUAGGUGAACCUGCGGAAAGAUCAUUAACACGUAUCCAAACGUUAAAACCCCCCCCGUGAACCUUCAUCCUGCUCUUGUAACCCGCGUAGUUCGCAAUCUCUGAUAAAUCAUAGCUCGGAAAGUUGUAGUGAUUCAGAGACCUCUGGCUAACGUGCGAACAUUGGAACAGUUACAAUCGAGCGGUAGCGUACACUCGGGCAGGAGCUUUGCCAAAGGGUCCCCAUGCCCCCUAAUAACCCCACAGUUUAAUGUGAAGCUCAAUGUAAUACAUUGGGUAAAAAAACCGAACAACUGUUAACAAUGGAUAUCUUGGUUCUC
RNAcentral lists this unclassified non-coding RNA (338 nucleotides) under fungal sp. RNAcentral's name for it is "partial internal transcribed spacer region". The stretch from base 1 to 46 matches the Rfam family "Eukaryotic small subunit ribosomal RNA", at positions 1786 to 1831 of the family's 1831-position model. Lineage: Eukaryota; Fungi. The record is from RNAcentral.